UACGAAGGGGGCGAGCGUUGUUCGGAAUUACUGGGCGUAAAGGGCGCGCAGGCGGCUCUUCAAGUCAGGCGUGAAAGCCCCGGGCUUAACCUGGGAAUUGCGCUUGGGACUGGAGGGCUUGAGUACGGGAGAGGAGAGUGGAAUUCCCAGUGUAGAGGUGAAAUUCGUAGAUAUUGGGAAGAACACCGGUGGCGAAGGCGGUCUGCUGGGCAGUUGCUGACGCUGAUGCGCGACAGCGUGGGGAGCAAACAGG
Molecule: ribosomal RNA, 253 nt
Filed under: uncultured bacterium
Lineage: Bacteria
Description: partial 16S ribosomal RNA
Rfam family: Bacterial small subunit ribosomal RNA
Source: RNAcentral